Molecule: ribosomal RNA, 376 nt
Filed under: uncultured eukaryote
Lineage: Eukaryota
Description: SSU rRNA
Rfam family: Eukaryotic small subunit ribosomal RNA
Source: RNAcentral
AUUUCUCUCUAUAAAUUAAGCCAUGCAUGUCUAAGUAUAAAAUGCCUUUUAUUACUGUGAAAACUGCGAAUGGCUCAUUAUAUCAGUUAUAGUUUAUUUGACAGUACCUUACUACUUGGAUAACCGUAGUAACUCCACACCUAAUACAUGCUGUUAAGCCUGACUUACUAAGGGCUGUAUUUAUUAUAUAACAGACCAAUAUUCCCUCCUGUCUAUUGUGGUGAAUCAUAAUAACUGAAUCGGAUCGCAUGGGCGUGCCCGCGAUAAACCAUUCAAGUUUCUGCCCCAUCAACUUUCGAUGGUACUGUAUUGGAACUACCGUGGGCGUUUACGGGUAACGGAAGAUUACGGUUCGAUUUCCGGAGAAAGGAACCUU